Molecule: long non-coding RNA, 809 nt
Filed under: Mytilus galloprovincialis (Mediterranean mussel)
Lineage: Eukaryota; Metazoa; Mollusca; Bivalvia; Mytilida; Mytilidae
Source: RNAcentral
GGGUUGUACUAAACACCUUGCCUAAAAAUAAUUAGGUUCGUUUUAAUUUUCAUAAAAUUUUGACAAAAAGUUUUCUUUUAUUUUAAAAUAGGCAAUGCUCUGUUGCUACAGCAACAAGAUGGCUGCCCCAAUCUAAAAAGACAAAGGAUUUCUGCACAUAAAAAUAAAUGUGGAUUUUGGAUUCACUAGUAUAUUGCCUAUUCAAUCGAUAGCCAAGGGUUGAGAUCGAGAUCAGUUCGAAACAAAAAAAAAAUCUUUUUCUUCAGAAGAAAAUACUGUUUGAUAAAAUAAUUUUGUUGGAUCUCAGUUUUUGUAGGGCCUAAAAUAAAAUAUUGUUUGUUUCCCCAAUCCCGACCGACCCGACAAAAAUGGUGCUACUCAUAAAAUUCUAUUGUCAAAACCAAGUCAAGUAUUAUUUUAUUCCUCAUUGUUCAUUUUGGAUUUUCAGGAUUGCCGGAUCAUCCAAUAAUGUUCAAGCUUUUUGGAAAAAUAAAAUCAUUUCCCUACUUACCUAGCCACACCUGCCUAGGCAAGGUCGGGAUUGGGGAAACAAACAGUAUAUUAAUUUAGGCCUAGUUGAAUACAAAAAUUGCAACUUCAAAGGUACCUUAUUUUGUAAUUUACAUUUUUCUGCUAUCCAUGAACAUUUUAACUUAACAAAAACUGUCAAUUAGUUCAGGAUUUGUUCACUGAUGAAAUCCCCAAUAGUUGGUAUACAAUGGUUUUUUUUAUAAAUUCACAUUAAUAUUCAAUAAAAUAAUAUAGUUUUACAUACAAAUACACACAAGCACCAUGAAGUACAAACUAAA